ACGUAGGAGGCAAACGUUAUCCGGAUUUACUGGGCGUAAAGCGCGUGUAGGUGGUUCUGUAAGUCUGGCGUUCCCUCUCCUGGCUCAACUGGGAGAGGCCGUUCUAAACUGCAGAGCUAGAGGAUGGUAGAGGGAGGUGGAAUUCCGGGUGUAGCGGUGGAAUGCGCAGAUAUCCGGAGGAACACCAGUGGCGAAAGCGGCCUCCGGGACCAUUCCUGACACUCAGACGCGAAAGCUAGGGUAGCAAACGG
RNAcentral lists this ribosomal RNA (251 nucleotides) under uncultured prokaryote. Its description in RNAcentral is "partial 16S rRNA". It matches the Rfam family "Bacterial small subunit ribosomal RNA", at positions 525 to 775 of the family's 1533-position model. The record is from RNAcentral.